Molecule: non-coding RNA, 135 nt
Organism: Triticum aestivum (bread wheat)
Lineage: Eukaryota; Viridiplantae; Streptophyta; Magnoliopsida; Poales; Poaceae
Source: Rfam
AAGGUACUCCCUUCGUCCGAAAAUAUUUGUCAUCAAAAUAGAUAAAAAUAUAUGUAUUUAGAACUAAAAUACGUCUAGAUACAUCUCCUUUUAUCCAUUUUGAUGACAAGUAUUUUUGGACGAAGGGAGUACAAC